RNAcentral lists this ribosomal RNA (253 nucleotides) under uncultured bacterium. RNAcentral's name for it is "partial 16S ribosomal RNA". It matches the Rfam family "Bacterial small subunit ribosomal RNA", at positions 524 to 776 of the family's 1533-position model. The record is from RNAcentral.
UACGUAGGGGGCCAGCGUUGUCCGGAUUCAUUGGGCGUAAAGCGCGUGUAGGCGGCCAGGUAGGUCCGAUGUGAAAUCUGGAGGCUCAACCUCCAGCGGUCAUUGGAAACCAUCUGGCUAGAGUCCGGAAGAGGAGAGUGGAAUUCCACGUGUAGCGGUGAAAUGCGUAGAGAUGUGGAGGAACACUAGUGGCGAAGGCGACUCUCUGGUCUGUAACUGACGCUGAGGAGCGAAAGCGUGGGGAGCAAACAGG